GCAGUAAGGAAUAUUGGUCAAUGGGCGGAAGCCUGAACCAGCCACGCCGCGUGCAGGAAGAAGGCCCUACGGGUUGUAAACUGCUUUUAUACGGGAAGAACCGCCCUCCUGCGGGGGGGUAUGACGGUACCGUAGGAAUAAGCAUCGGCUAACUCCGUGCCAGCAGCCGCGGUAAUACGGAGGAUGCAAGCGUUAUCCGGAUUCAUUGGGUUUAAAGGGUGCGUAGGUGGGUCCAUAAGUCAGUGGUGAAAUCCGGCAGCUCAACUGUCGCACUGCCUCUGAUACUGUGGGUCUUGAGUUAAGUUGAAGCAGGCGGAAUAUGACAUGUAGCGGUGAAAUGCAUAGAUAUGUCAUAGAACACCGAUAGCGAAGGCAGCCUGCUAAACUUACACUGACACUGAUGCACGAAAGCGUGGGUAGCGAACAGGAUUAGAUACCCUGGUAGUCCACGCCGUAAACGAUGAUCACUCGCUGCAUGCGAUAUACGGUAUGUGGCCAAGC
This 501-nucleotide ribosomal RNA is filed under the name uncultured bacterium. RNAcentral's name for it is "bacterial SSU rRNA". It matches the Rfam family "Bacterial small subunit ribosomal RNA", at positions 351 to 852 of the family's 1533-position model. The record is from RNAcentral.